CCCUUAGAUGUCCGGGGCCGCACGCGCGCUACACUGAAGGAAUCAGCGUGGCUUUCUCCCUGACCCGAAAGGGUUGGGAAACCCGUUGAAUCUCCUUCGUGAUAGGGAUUGGGGCUUGAAAUUGUUCCCCAUGAACGAGGAAUUCCCAGUAAGCGCGAGUCAUAAGCUCGCGUUGAUUACGUCCCUGCCCUUUGUACACACCGCCCGUCGCUACUACCGAUUGAACGGUUUAGUGAGGCCCUCGGAUCGGCCCCGCCGGGGUCGGCCCACGGCCCUGGCGGAGCGCUGAGAAGACGGUCGAACUUGACUAUCUAGAGGAAGUAAAAGUCGUAACA
Molecule: ribosomal RNA, 335 nt
Filed under: uncultured eukaryote
Lineage: Eukaryota
Description: partial 18S ribosomal RNA
Rfam family: Eukaryotic small subunit ribosomal RNA
Source: RNAcentral